Molecule: unclassified non-coding RNA, 491 nt
Filed under: Hevea brasiliensis (rubber tree)
Lineage: Eukaryota; Viridiplantae; Streptophyta; Magnoliopsida; Malpighiales; Euphorbiaceae
Source: RNAcentral
GUAAAUUUAAAAUUAGGAACCAAAUUAAUCGUGGAACGUGGAUUGCAAUCAUGGCAUGUGCUAUGGAAACCUUUAUGAGUGCAUUUGCGUGGAAAGCCUUCACAGCAUUUGUGGUGCUUUUGGGAUUUCCUGGCAGGUUUAUCCUGUCUGGAAGAUGUUAGUUUAUAUCUAUUGUCAAAGUGAUUUUUUUUAAUGGGUUCUCGUCUUUGCGUGUACCAUGCAAUUUCAAUCCGAACAAGUUCCUUGAUCGAUUUCGUUUUCAACGCGACCAGCGGCCUUGCCUGGUAGUAGUUGGUUCCACCUAGACCAUUCUGCUUUGUGGAGUGCCCGAAUAAGAACGAAGGCAUCAAAGCCUGAGCCGCAGCUGUCGCUUGGCGUAUGGUUAAAGGAUAAUGAUAAGGUAUCAUCUCAAAAAGAGGAUGAUGACACAUUAUGGGUUGCUUCCAGUUCAUCGCAGUCGAAAUUACCAAUGGAAUGGGCCUCCUGUAGUG